Molecule: ribosomal RNA, 362 nt
Filed under: uncultured bacterium
Lineage: Bacteria
Description: bacterial SSU rRNA
Rfam family: Bacterial small subunit ribosomal RNA
Source: RNAcentral
AACGAACGCUGGCGGCAGGCUUAACACAUGCAAGUCGAACGGGUGCAGCAAUGCAUCAGUGGCAGACGGGUGAGUAACACGUGGGAACCUUCCUAGGGGUACGGAACAACUCAGGGAAACUUGAGCUAAUACCGUAUACGUCCGUGAGGAGAAAGAUUCAUCGCCCCUAGACGGGCCCGCGUCGGAUUAGGUAGUUGGUGGGGUAACGGCCUACCAAGCCUACGAUCCGUAGCUGAUCUGAGAGGAUGAUCAGCCACACUGGGACUGAGACACGGCCCAGACUCCUACGGGAGGCAGCGAGUGGGGAAUCUUGGACGAAUGGGCGCAAGCCUGAUCCAGCCAUGCCGCGUGAGUGAAGAAGG